UAAGGAAUCUUGCACAAUGGGGGAAACCCUGAUGCAGCAACGCCGCGUGGAGGAAGACGGCCUUCGGGUUGUAAACUCCUUUUAUAUGGGACGAACAUUGACGGUACCAUAUGAAUAAGAGGUGGCUAACUAUGUGCCAGCAGCCGCGGUAAUACAUAGACCUCAAGCGUUAUCCGGAUUUACUGGGCGUAAAGCGUGCGUAGGCGUUUCUUUAAGUCGGCGGUGAAAUCUCCGGGCUCAACCCGGAAACUGUCGCCGAAACUGAAGAAAUAGAGUAUGACAGAGGCAGACGGAAUUCUAGGUGUAGCGGUAAAAUGCGUAGAUAUCUAGAAGAACACCAGUGGCGAAGGCGGUCUGCUGGGUCAUCACUGACGCUGAGGUACGAAAGCGUGGGUAGCGAACGG
This 404-nucleotide ribosomal RNA is filed under the name uncultured bacterium. RNAcentral's name for it is "bacterial SSU rRNA". It matches the Rfam family "Bacterial small subunit ribosomal RNA", at positions 355 to 775 of the family's 1533-position model. The record is from RNAcentral.